This 692-nucleotide unclassified non-coding RNA is filed under the name Hevea brasiliensis (rubber tree). The record is from RNAcentral. Lineage: Eukaryota; Viridiplantae; Streptophyta; Magnoliopsida; Malpighiales; Euphorbiaceae.
UCUAAGUUACACUGGGUUAUCAUUUUUGAAACGGAAAAAGUAUUUAUUUUUUUUUGGUUGAAAAACAAAAAUUUUAGCAAAAAGACAGCAUGAUUAGCACAUAAUGCAAAACAAAAGCAUGUGAAACUUUUCCUCUUUUUCUGCAAAAGUGCUAAUUUUAUCUCUGCAGAUUCAUUAGUCAUUACUAAACAAACUGUUUAACUUAAUCUUUUUAAUUAAUAAGAACAUCCACGAGGAGCAAACCCUAAUCGAGAACCCGCAAGAUCAAAUACGACCCGAAAACCCUGUUGCUGGAUAUUCCCAAUUAUUGACAACCCGCCAUUUGUACCCGCAAAUCCAAAGCAGUAUCUCCCUUCAGUGUUCACUGGGAUCAUAUAAUUCGCCGCCGGUAAUGCCACGUCAGCUCCGGCGAAGUGUAAAACCAUCGUCGGUACCUUCGCCUGUUUUUUCCCCGACAGAUCAUAACAUGUAUCGAACAAAGAGAAAUUCGGUGCUCUCUUCAAAUCUUUAGCACCCAAUCUGAAAGCAUCCCUCACUGCUAUAUAACCGGGUCGGGUCAACCGGGUUACUGAAGUACCCGAAUCGACUAUAACCCCACCGUUACCUUCAGCAUCAAGCUUAAACAACUCCGGCGUGACUGCCGGUACCUUCGUACCUCCGACGCUAAUUCCGGUGAGCUCCACGUAGUAAAA